RNAcentral lists this ribosomal RNA (162 nucleotides) under Fagus engleriana. Its description in RNAcentral is "5.8S ribosomal RNA". It matches the Rfam family "5.8S ribosomal RNA". From Rfam's summary of the family: 5.8S ribosomal RNA (5.8S rRNA) is a component of the large subunit of the eukaryotic ribosome. It is transcribed by RNA polymerase I as part of the 45S precursor that also contains 18S and 28S rRNA. Functionally, it is thought that 5.8S rRNA may be involved in ribosome translocation. Lineage: Eukaryota; Viridiplantae; Streptophyta; Magnoliopsida; Fagales; Fagaceae. The record is from RNAcentral.
AAAACGACUCUCGGCAACGGAUAUCUCGGCUCUCGCAUCGAUGAAGAACGUAGCGAAAUGCGAUACUUGGUGUGAAUUGCAGAAUCCCGUGAAUCAUCGAGUCUUUGAACGCAAGUUGCGCCCGACGCCAUUCGGCUGAGGGCACGUCUGCCUGGGUGUCAC